RNAcentral lists this ribosomal RNA (119 nucleotides) under uncultured bacterium. RNAcentral describes it as "partial 16S ribosomal RNA". The record is from RNAcentral.
UUUUCUGCAGGUACCGUCACUUUCGCUUCUUCCCUGCUAAAAGANGUUUACAACCCGAAGGCCGUCAUCCCCCACGCGGCGUUGCUGCAUCAGGCUUGCGCCCAUUGUGCAAUAUUCCC